GCGGAUGUGGCGGAACUGGCAGACGCGCACGGUUCAGGUCCGUGUGAGCUUACGCUCUUGGAGGUUCGAAUCCUCUCAUCCGCA
RNAcentral lists this transfer RNA (84 nucleotides) under Marinococcus luteus. It matches the Rfam family "tRNA". Rfam says of the family: Transfer RNA (tRNA) molecules are approximately 80 nucleotides in length. Their secondary structure includes four short double-helical elements and three loops (D, anti-codon, and T loops). The record is from Rfam by way of RNAcentral. Lineage: Bacteria; Bacillati; Bacillota; Bacilli; Caryophanales; Bacillaceae.